This 3026-nucleotide ribosomal RNA is filed under the name Solanum arcanum. RNAcentral describes it as "eukaryotic LSU rRNA". It matches the Rfam family "Eukaryotic large subunit ribosomal RNA". The record is from RNAcentral. Lineage: Eukaryota; Viridiplantae; Streptophyta; Magnoliopsida; Solanales; Solanaceae.
AGAACCUCUGAUGAAUGAAUUAUUAACUAAAUAAUAAAUCAAUGACUCUUUAAUCAACAUUAAAGGGACUUUAUAAAGAGAGUCAAAGAGUGAUUGAAAUUGUAGGGAGGGAAGCGGAUGGGGGCUGGUGGUGCGCCUUGGUCAGAUAUGGAAAGUGAUGAGUCGGUCCGCUGAUCGACUCUGGGAGUGGACCAGCAUGGAUUGGGGGAGAGAAAAAGGCCCAAGCUCUCGAUACGCCUAUGGAAUGUCGUCUCCUCAAUUGUGGUAGGCAACAUGCGCCUCUGGCGUACUACGACAUCUACGUGCUCUAGAUGCUGGCCUUUGGGCUCCCUGUUUGACAUGUCUUGAAAGACGAACUAAGGGGUCUGAUAUGUGUUCGAGUCAACGGGUACGUAAAUCUGUAAGCCGUAAGGAAGAUGAUUGGUGGUAUCCCCCUAAGGGGUUCACCGACGACGGACUUUGAUCUUCUAAUAAGGGUUAGUGUGUGAGCAUACCUGCCGGGACCAAAAACAUAGUGAAAUAUGCCUUAGCGAGGAGAAGCUAGAGGACACUCUGGUCGAGGACCGUAGCUAUACUGACAUGCAAAUCAUUUGUAUAACUUUGGUAUAUGGGAGAAAGACUAAUUGAACCAUCAAGUAGCUGGUUCCCUUCGAAGUUUCUCUCCGGAUAGCUGGAGCUCGCGUGCGAGUUCUAUUGGGUAAAGCGAAUUAUUAGAGGACUCGGGAGAUAAAUGCCUUCGACCAAUUCUCUAACAUUAAAUAGGUAGGACGGCGCGACUAUUUUGUUGAUCCAUGCCAUAUAAUCAAAAUCUACAACUUUGUCAUUUUUUAUAUUCAGAAUUGGCGAUGCGGGAUGAAUUAGAAGCCGGGUUAUUGUUCCAAACUGCGUGCUAACCUAGAUCCCACAAAGGGUGUUUGUCGAUUAAGAAAGCAGCACGGUGGUCAUGGAAGUAGAAAUCCGCUAAGGAGUGUGUAACAACUCACUAGCCGAAUCAACUAGCCCUGAAAAUUGAUGGCAAUUAAGCAAGAUGAGUAGGAGGGCGUGGCGGUCGCUGUAAAACCUUGGGCGUGAUACUAGGCGCAGUGCUCAUCGGUGCAAAUCUUGGUGGUAGUCACCAAUAUUCAAAUGAGAACUUUGAAGUCCAAAGAGGGGAAAUGUUCCAUGUGAAUGGAACUUGCACAUGCGUUAGUCGAUCCUAAUAUUUGGGGUAGCCCCGACAAAUAGCAUGUUUCGCGCAUACUCUGUAAGGGAAUAAGGUUAAAUUUUCUGAAAGGUGAUGUGGUGGUUGACGCUAAAGUUAAAAAGUGAGGAGACGUCGGUGGGAGUCUCGGGAAGAGUUAUAUUUUCUAUUUAAUAGCCUACCCACCCUGGAUUCGACUCACCCAAAGGUAGGGUCCAGUAGCUGGAAGAGCAACGCACGUUGCGUGGUGUACGGUACACUCCCAGAGGCCCUUUAAAAUAAGAAGGAUUGAAUUUCAUCCAUGCCCGAUUGUACUCAUAACCACAUCAGGUCUCCAAGGUGAACUACCUCUAGUCGAUGUAACAAUGUAGACAAGGGUAGUCGGCAAAAUGGAUGCAUAACUUUGGGAAAUGGUUUGGCUUUAAGGGUAGGGCUCAAGGGUCCCACUCCCUAACCUGUCAGCUGUCGGUGGACUGCUCGAGCUGCUCCUACAGCGAGAGCGGGUCACCCCAUGCUGGCCGGGGGACGAAUUGGGAAUGGUUCCUUUUGGUGCCUUCCCUGGGCAUCGAAAAGCAAACUCAAUACUAGUAAGUACAAGGUGAUUUCGACUAUUUAAUUACAACAAAGCUUUCGAUUGUCCCAACGGAUGUUUACUCAAUGUGAUUUUUGCCUAGACUUUUAAUGUUUAAGUGAAGAAAUUCAACCAAACUCGUGUAAAUGGCGAGAGUAACUAUGGUUGUCUUAAGGUAUCCAAAUGCCUCGUUAUCUCAUUAGUGACGCACAUGAAUGGAUUAACGAGAUUCCCAUUGUUCCUAUCUACUAUGCAUCAAAACCAUAGCCAACGGAACGAGCUUGGCAAAAUAAGCGGAGAAAGAAGACCCUAUUGAGCAUAAUUCUACUCCGACUUGGUGAAAUGACAUGAGAGGUAUAGCAUAAGAUAGAGAUGAAAGGCAAAAGUGAAAUACCUCUACUUUUAACGUUAUUUUACUUAUUCCGUGAAUCAGAAGUUGGGCACUUCCCCUCUUUUUGGACCCAAGUCUCGCUUUGCGGGCUAAUCUGGGCGGAAGACAUUGUCAGGUGAGGAGUUUGGCUGUGGCGGCACAGCUUGUUAAAGAUAACGCAAGUGUCCUAAGAUGAGAUGAACGAGAACAAAGAUCUCGUCUGGGACAGAAGGUUCAAAUCUCAUUUGAUUAUGAUUUCCAGUACGAAUAAGAACUGCGAAAGCAAGGCCUAACAAUCCUGUAGACCAUUGGAAUUCGAUGCUAGCGCGGGGAUAACUCGCCUGUGGUAGCCAAGCGUUCAUAGGGACGUUGCUUUUUUAUCCUUCGAUGUCCGCUCUUUCAAUCAUUGUGAACCAGAAUUCAGCAAGUGUUGGAUUGUGCACCAACCAUUAUGAAACGUGAGCUGGGUUUAGACCGUCUUGAGACAGGUUAGUUUUACCCUACUGAUGACAGUGUCGCAAUAGUAAUUCAACCUAGUACGAGAGGAAUUGUUGAUUCAAAUAAUUGGCCAUCGCUCAUGGUUUAAAAGGCCGUGGCGCGAAGCUACCAUGUGCUGGAUUAUUAGUGAAUGCCUCUAAGUAAGAAUUCGAACUACAAGUGAAGCAUGAGUCCCUUGUCCGCUUGCCGAACCGUAGUGGGGGCCUCUAACCCCUAAAGGUACGUGUUGUUAGCUAAGUCUCCGUGACGGAAGCGACGCGCUGACUGUGUUGAAGUACAAUUUCCAUUGAGCGGUAGGUAGAAUCCUUUUUUUAGAUGACUUAAAUAUGCAACUGGGUAUUGUUAUUAGCAGAGUGGACUUGCUACUACAAUCCACUAAGAAUCAUCCCUUUGUCGCUCCGAUUCGU